CCAAAAACAGCAAAAUUUCCUUAAAAUUACCAUUUCAGGGGCAGCAACCCAACAACGGAAUGUCCGAUUCAUCUGAAAAUUUCAGGGCAGAUAGAUCUUGACCUGAUGAACAAUUUUACAGCGUCAGAUUUGCUCUAAAUGCUUUGGUUUUUGAGUUAUAAGCCAAAAACUGUAUUUUACCCCUAUGUUCUAAUUUUAGCCAUGGUGGCCAUCUUGG
Molecule: long non-coding RNA, 217 nt
Filed under: Mytilus galloprovincialis (Mediterranean mussel)
Lineage: Eukaryota; Metazoa; Mollusca; Bivalvia; Mytilida; Mytilidae
Source: RNAcentral